Molecule: ribosomal RNA, 425 nt
Filed under: uncultured bacterium
Lineage: Bacteria
Description: partial 16S ribosomal RNA
Rfam family: Bacterial small subunit ribosomal RNA
Source: RNAcentral
GUGGGGAAUCUUGCGCAAUGGGCGAAAGCCUGACGCAGCCAUGCCGCGUGAAUGAUGAAGGUCUUAGGAUUGUAAAAUUCUUUCAUCGGGGACGAUAAUGACGGUACCCGGAGAAGAAGCUCCGGCUAACUUCGUGCCAGCAGCCGCGGUAAUACGAAGGGUGCAAGCGUUAUCCGGAUUCAUUGGGUUUAAAGGGUGCGUAGGCGGAGCGUUAAGUCAGUGGUGAAAUCCUGCAGCUUAACUGUAGACUUGCCAUUGAUACUGGCGCUCUUGAGUGCGCUUGAAGUGGGCGGAAUGUGCCGUGUAGCGGUGAAAUGCUUAGAUAUGGCACAGAACACCAAUUGCGAAGGCAGCUCACUAAGGCGAUACUGACGCUGAGGCACGAAAGCGUGGGGAUCGAACAGGAUUAGAAACCCGUGUAGUCC